Molecule: long non-coding RNA, 315 nt
Organism: Amphimedon queenslandica
Lineage: Eukaryota; Metazoa; Porifera; Demospongiae; Haplosclerida; Niphatidae
Exons: 4
Source: RefSeq, a predicted model, not a curated record
ACGUGGUAAAAAUAAGAUGGCGCGUUUAGUUGAUUUUAGCUUAGUUUUAGCCAAUAAUUCUUCAAAAAAUUUUUAAAGGCCCAAAUAUUUUUCAAAUUGCUAUUUUUCCUCUGAAAAUUGUGAAGAUUGGCUACCACAACUAUACAGGAAAAUUACAGUAUUGUAUAUAGUAUCAGCCCAUGCAUUCAUUUUCUCAAAAUACAUACAUGAGAAGAUACCAGCUGUACAACAACAACAGUCAUAUAAUGAUCAUCUGGCCCCAGUAUAUAACAAUGUGUGGGAGAAACAGCUGCUUGCUUCAUGUUUUAAAUGACU